RNAcentral lists this ribosomal RNA (1372 nucleotides) under uncultured bacterium. Its description in RNAcentral is "bacterial SSU rRNA". It matches the Rfam family "Bacterial small subunit ribosomal RNA", at positions 28 to 1381 of the family's 1533-position model. The record is from RNAcentral.
GAUGAACGCUGGCGGCGUGCCUAAUACAUGCAAGUCGAGCGAACGGACGAGAAGCUUGCUUUUCUGAUGUUAGCGGCGGACGGGUGAGUAACACGUGGAUAACCUACCUAUAAGACUGGGAUAACUUCGGGAAACCGGAGCUAAUACCGGAUAAUAUUUUGAACCGCAUGGUUCAAAAGUGAAAGACGGUCUUGCUGUCACUUAUAGAUGGAUCCGCGCUGCAUUAGCUAGUUGGUAAGGUAACGGCUUACCAAGGCAACGAUGCAUAGCCGACCUGAGAGGGUGAUCGGCCACACUGGAACUGAGACACGGUCCAGACUCCUACGGGAGGCAGCAGUAGGGAACCUUCCGCAAUGGGCGAAAGCCUGACGGAGCAACGCCGCGUGAGUGAUGAAGGUCUUCGGAUCGUAAAACUCUGUUAUUAGGGAAGAACAUAUGUGUAAGUAACUGUGCACAUCUUGACGGUACCUAAUCAGAAAGCCACGGCUAACUACGUGCCAGCAGCCGCGGUAAUACGCAGGUGGCAAGCGUUAUCCGGAAUUAUUGGGCGUAAAGCGCGCGUAGGCGGUUUUUUAAGUCUGAUGUGAAAGCCCACGGCUCAACCGUGGAGGGUCAUUGGAAACUGGAAAACUUGAGUGCAGAAGAGGAAAGUGGAAUUCCAUGUGUAGCGGUGAAAUGCGCAGAGAUGUGGAGGAACACCAGUGGCGAAGGCGACUUUCUGGUCUGUAACUGACGCUGAUGUGCGAAAGCGUGGGGAUCAAACAGGAUUAGAUACCCUGGUAGUCCACGCCGUAAACGAUGAGUGCUAAGUGUUAGGGGGUUUCCGCCCCUUAGUGCUGCAGCUAACGCAUUAAGCACUCCGCCUGGGGAGUACGACCGCAAGGUUGAAACUCAAAGGAAUUGACGGGGGCCCGCACAAGCGGUGGAGCAUGUGGUUUAAUUCGAAGCAACGCGAAGAACCUUACCAAAUCUUGACAUCCUUUGACAACUCUAGAGAUAGAGCCUUCCCCUUCGGGGGACAAAGUGACAGGUGGUGCAUGGUUGUCGUCAGCUCGUGUCGUGAGAUGUUGGGUUAAGUCCCGCAACGAGCGCAACCCUUAAGCUUAGUUGCCAUCAUUAAGUUGGGCACUCUAAGUUGACUGCCGGUGACAAACCGGAGGAAGGUGGGGAUGACGUCAAAUCAUCAUGCCCCUUAUGAUUUGGGCUACACACGUGCUACAAUGGACAAUACAAAGGGCAGCGAAACCGCGAGGUCAAGCAAAUCCCAUAAAGUUGUUCUCAGUUCGGAUUGUAGUCUGCAACUCGACUACAUGAAGCUGGAAUCGCUAGUAAUCGUAGAUCAGCAUGCUACGGUGAAUACGUUCCCGGGUCU